UGCUGAUUCUCCAAGGAGGGAGAUUGCUAGUAAAGCGGCUGGAAUGGCCAACCCGAGCACAAGGAGAUGAGAAAUGAGGACAAAUUGCAACCUGUACGGAACAGGAGGUUAAAGGUGCUGAUUCUCCAAGGAGGGAGAUUGCUAGUAAAGCGGCUGGAAUGGCGAACCCGAGCACAAGGAGAUGAGAAAUGAGGACAAAUUGCCACCUGUACGGAACAGGAGGUUAAAGGUGCUGAUUCUCCAAGGAGGCAGGUUGCUAGUAAAGAGGCUGGAAUGGCGAACCCGAGCACAAGGAGAUGAGAAAUGAGG
Molecule: long non-coding RNA, 309 nt
Organism: Balaenoptera acutorostrata (minke whale)
Lineage: Eukaryota; Metazoa; Chordata; Mammalia; Artiodactyla; Balaenopteridae
Exons: 3
Source: RefSeq, a predicted model, not a curated record